RNAcentral lists this ribosomal RNA (425 nucleotides) under uncultured bacterium. RNAcentral describes it as "partial 16S ribosomal RNA". It matches the Rfam family "Bacterial small subunit ribosomal RNA", at positions 354 to 796 of the family's 1533-position model. The record is from RNAcentral.
GUGGGGAAUCUUGCGCAAUGGGCGAAAGCCUGACGCAGCCAUGCCGCGUGAAUGAUGAAGGUCUUAGGAUUGUAAAAUUCUUUCACCGGGGACGAUAAUGACGGUACCCGGAGAAGAAGCUCCGGCUAACUUCGUGCCAGCAGCCGCGGUAAUACGAAGGGGGCUAGCGUUGCUCGGAAGUACUGGGCGUAAAGGGCGCGUAGGCGGACAGCUUAGUCAGAGGUGAAAGCCCAGGGCUCAACCUUGGAAUUGCCUUUGAUACUGGCUGUCUUGAGUUUGGGAGAGGUGAGUGGAACUCCGAGUGUAGAGGUGAAAUUCGUAGAUAUUCGGAAGAACACCAGUGGCGAAGGCGACUCACUGGCCCAAUACUGACGCUGAGGCGCGAAAGCGUGGGGAGCAAACAGGAUUAGAAACCCGGGUAGUCC